AACAAAAUAGGAAAUGGUGUUCUUCCUAAACCAAACCGCUUUAUAAUAGCUGAUGACGCCUGAUUAUUA
This 69-nucleotide non-coding RNA is filed under the name Chishuiella changwenlii. RNAcentral's name for it is "Fluoride sequence". It matches the Rfam family "Fluoride riboswitch aptamer (crcB RNA motif)". The record is from RNAcentral. Lineage: Bacteria; Pseudomonadati; Bacteroidota; Flavobacteriia; Flavobacteriales; Weeksellaceae.